GGGGCCGUCGUCUAGCUUGGACAAGGAUGCCAGUCCCGCGCUGGUGCUCCUGGGUUCAAAUCCCAGCGGCCCCACCA
Molecule: transfer RNA, 77 nt
Filed under: Candidatus Bathyarchaeota archaeon
Lineage: Archaea; Thermoproteati; Candidatus Bathyarchaeota
Description: tRNA-Arg
Rfam family: tRNA
About the family: Transfer RNA (tRNA) molecules are approximately 80 nucleotides in length. Their secondary structure includes four short double-helical elements and three loops (D, anti-codon, and T loops).
Source: RNAcentral